RNAcentral lists this ribosomal RNA (199 nucleotides) under uncultured bacterium. RNAcentral describes it as "partial 16S ribosomal RNA". It matches the Rfam family "Bacterial small subunit ribosomal RNA", at positions 328 to 539 of the family's 1533-position model. The record is from RNAcentral.
ACGCUCGACACCUACGGGAGACAGCAGUCGGGAAUAUUGCGCAAUGGAGGAAACUCUGACGCAGUGACGCCGCGUAUGGGAAGAAGGUUUUCGGAUUGUAAACCAUUUUAGACAAGGAAGAAACAAGACAGUACUUGUAGAAUAAGCUCCGGCUAACUACGUGCUAGCAGCCGCGGUAAUCUGAGCGGGCUGGCAAGGC